GUGCUUGUUUUGGCAGCACAUACACUAAAAUUGAAACGAUAUAGAGAAGAUCAGCAUGAUCCCUGUACAUGGAUGACACACAAAUUUGUGAAGUGUUCUAUAUUUCU
Molecule: small nuclear RNA, 107 nt
Filed under: Papio anubis (olive baboon)
Lineage: Eukaryota; Metazoa; Chordata; Mammalia; Primates; Cercopithecidae
Source: RNAcentral